AUUGAUUUUUCUUUAAUUGUAUUUGUUUAACGAUCGUUAUGUCAAAAUAAUUAAGCUGACAAUAUGCCUUCUUCCCAUAUCUGUCUCUCCGCAUAAAAAGUAGAAUCAUUGUUUAUAACAUAUCAGCCACACGGCCUUCUGGGAGUGAAUGUUUUCAGCUGCGUUGGUUUCAACGCAAGCAAAAAUCUGGACUGGUCUCGACAUUCAAUGUAUAAACAGUCAGGCUUUGAACCAAUACGAGUGACCUGCUCGAUGUUAAGAGGCAAGGAUCUCCUCUGUUGGCUAUGAAUGUGUAAAGCAUAUUUUAGAUUGUAGUGGAGAGACAAAUAUGGGAAGAAGGCAUAUUACCUGCUUAGUUUGUUGUAUUGUCCACAAGAACGUUAAUGUUUAUUUUGCAUUAUUUAUUUCAGAACUAUGCUUAGAGAGUUUGAACUCGCUGGCAGCUUACAAGCUAAUUUGUAUGCAGAAUGGGGAUAUUAAGCCAACAGAUGUUGGCAGAUUGAUGGCUUCCUACUACAUCGCAUUUGAUACCAUAAAGCUGUUUGGCACAUUACAGGGCUCUGAAGCCAUGCAAGACCUGGUGACUUAUCUCAAGCUGUCGAGAGUAUAAAUACAUCGCACUCCGCGUUAAUGAAAAGAAAACCCUGAACACAUUUAACAUGGCCAAAAAUCACACAAUACGUCUUAUUCAACCUCAGCUGGGAUGUGUACUUCUUGCAAGAUUUUGCAUUGAUACAGGACAUCGCCAAAAUCUUCAGGACUGGAAUCCGACUUACAAAAUGUCUUGCCGAAUUUUUGCAGCAAAAGGAUAAGCAGAAUAAUUUUCAGGCUGUGCUAAAUGCAGUCCACCUCGCUAAAUGUUUUCGUGCAAAACUUUGGAAAAAUUCACCUGUUUUCAAACAACUUGAAAAAAAUCGAUAGUGAACAGACACCCUCCAUUUGGGAACCAGAUAAAAGAAGCCGUGCAGCAUCUGCCCAAGUACCAAGUCAGAGUGGAGCAGGGUAACAAGUACUACAAAGGUGUGGCUGAGGUGAUAAUUACAGUGAUACUAAAGAACUGUGCGGACCUGCAGUCCCACCGCACAGCUCCAGACAACCACUGCUGCACGCUACUACUGGGCAAUGCCGACAACAACCUCGUCUAUCGGGCUCGUCCGCCCUUAGCCCCGCCCACCUUCCAGGCUCCUCGAAGGCUCCCGAGGGCUCUCCGGGACCACGUGACCGCCCCUCGGCCCCCGUCCACCGGUGGCCCCCCUCCAGUAUCGUCCGGUCACGUGACAACAGGUCAGCCAGAGUAUCAUGCCCCAGAGUAACCCUGGCUGGCUGACGCUCGCUCUCGCUCCCCCACUGGGAACCGGCACCGCACGCUGCUCGCGGUGCCUUCGCGCUCACCAGCACUCACCCAAUCACCGGUAGUACUGCAGCCCGCAACCCGGGCUGCCCGCAAUGACAACAUCACCAGCCGUGACAUCGCAAGUCCCGGCACCAUACAGUGACAAGUACAGUCACUACACAAUAUUAAAAUUUAAAAUGCACUUGUUACUGGUAAAAUUAAUAAUAAUCACUUGUUUUUGAUAGGGCCUUUUACUCUGGGGUGUCUAUGAGCGCUUUAUGCGCAAUAAGCGACUUACAUCACGUCUCAAAUACAUUUAAAUGGGCACCCCCAGUUACAAAUGUCCCUGUGGAGACAAGAAGAUUUAGCACCUGGCCUGCAAUUGGGCGUGAGGUUGCAAGUAGGGGGAAAUGGUUGCUGUGUGUAAUUCCAAUUGAGUAUUUUUUUGUCAACGAGUAGAACUGGUCUACUCGUUUUGAAUGUCAGAAAUCUUUAACGUCAGUGCAACAUAGUGCACAUAUUUCAUUAUGAAUAUACCUGCAGUAAUAGCAAGUUAUGGAAGCUACAUAUACAUCAAUAUGACCUUCACAGAGAUUACAUGCUGCUGAAAACAGGGAGUUGGUUGAAAAAGGUUUAAGUUAAAUUUUGAUUUAAAGCUUUCGUGACUGCAGUAAUUCAUA
Molecule: non-coding RNA, 2013 nt
Organism: Petromyzon marinus (sea lamprey)
Lineage: Eukaryota; Metazoa; Chordata; Hyperoartia; Petromyzontiformes; Petromyzontidae
Source: RefSeq, a predicted model, not a curated record